This 502-nucleotide ribosomal RNA is filed under the name uncultured bacterium. RNAcentral's name for it is "partial 16S ribosomal RNA". It matches the Rfam family "Bacterial small subunit ribosomal RNA", at positions 30 to 523 of the family's 1533-position model. The record is from RNAcentral.
AUUGAACGCUGCGGCAGGCUUAACACAUGCAAGUCGAGCGGGGUGAUGGUGCUUGCACUAUCACUUAGCGGCGGACGGGUGAGUAAUGCUUAGGAAUCUGCCUAUUAGUGGGGGACAACAUCUCGAAAGGGAUGCUAAUACCGCAUACGUCCUACGGGAGAAAGCAGGGGAUCACUUGUGACCUUGCGCUAAUAGAUGAGCCUAAGUCGGAUUAGCUAGUUGGUGGGGUAAAGGCCUACCAAGGCGACGAUCUGUAGCGGGUCUGAGAGGAUGAUCCGCCACACUGGGAGGUCGACACGGCCCAGACUCCUACGGGAAGCAGCAGUGGGGAAUAUUGGACAAUGGGGGGAACCCUGAUCCAGCCAUGCCGCGUGUGUGAAGAAGGACUUAUGGUUGUAAAGCACCUUAAGCGAGGAGGAGGCUCUUUUGGUUAAUACCCAAGAUGAGUGGACGUUACUCGCAGAAUAAGCACCGGCUAACUCUGUGCCAGCCGCCGCCGUAA